GUCCUGGAGUCUGUCGAGAAAGUCCGCUGGAUUUAAUUAUAUUGCUAGGCGGCGCAAAAGCAAACAAAGAUGAUUGCGCUCCUAAACGCAAAUGAUGCGAGGCGAGCCCAAAGUGGGGACCGUCUGUCCCUAUUUUUGCCUCACGAGUUGCUGAAGACGUGGCCAGUGGGAUGGCAGAUGUAUGCUUCCUGGAAAUAUGCAUGAGAAGGGAAGACACUCCUUACAGCAAGGAGACAUUCCUUGCUAUGUCCUGGCCACGGUACACCUUUACUCCGUCUCAUUCACGAAGUGCGAGCGCAAGGUGAGCGAUGCGUUUCAUAUAUACAAAUACUGGGCUAGAGCGACAGCGGACGAAUGCUACGAAUGCAAGAUGCUGAGGAUUUUGGAAAGGGAGUUAGAAGACUCUGAAACCGCUGGAAUGGAGGCUGUUGACACUUCUGCGUCGCCAGGGCGCCGGUAGGCUCCAGUGCUCAGUGCUCGCGCAUAUAUUCAUUAUACGGGUUUGGAGUUUUUGUUGGUCACUCCAGUUGUCCAUGCUGCUCAAUAUCAGUGGGUGCUCGAUUCCUGUCAGAACUAUCUAGUUGCAGCUUUCUUUCGAAGUUUUUCUCAGGUUAGCUGGAGUCCACUGCGAGCGACUACAGAUAUCGGGGGAUGAGUAGAUUACGGGACAGCGCCGCCCUCUACAUGCUUUAGAGCUUUAAAUGCGUAAGAUCCAGGGGCCGCUUUAGGAAGUGCUGUGGGCUAUAUGAAGUCCAAGAGGGCAAUCUUCGCUAUGCGUGGCUGGUGAUAAAUGAUGGUUGUCGCGGCUAUUUUCGGUGAUCAAUAGUCGCUUACCCAAGAGCAUGAAAGACGCUGGUUCUUUUUGACAUCAGGACAGUGCUCAUAGAAAUCAAAGUCUGCUAAGAAACGUGUACUUGCUUUUCAACUUCGGGAACGCGAUGGCGCUGCAGUGGAUUCCCGAUUCAAGGGAAGUUUCGCAGGUUUUUGAACACUUCACGUUUUGCUGUAAUGAGUAGGAAGACGUGGGAUUUGUAGCGAAACACAGCCGUGAGCCUAUGGGGAACGGUUUCGGUGGCAGUAGCAAAUAUUACAAUGGAUUUGGAACCCUGCCUUGGGGAACGACUCCAUGUAGGCAGCAAGUUGAGGUGAGU
This is a non-coding RNA of Eimeria mitis, 1151 nucleotides long. The record is from Rfam. NCBI's taxonomy places the organism in Eukaryota, Apicomplexa, Conoidasida, Eucoccidiorida, Eimeriidae.